CGGCAGUGUCCCCAAUCAUAGAUGCACUCGCCUUGUCACUGGACGUUACAAAUCCCAAUGCCAUGCCCGACAUCACAUCCACCUUCCAGGCAUCUCCCAAUGUUCCUCACGUUAAAAACCUCCCAACGAACCGUCAGCAGCGCCUGGAAUAUCCUCCCCCAGCAACAUCGCACAUGACUUUGCCAAGGCCUCGAGCCCAUUCAUCACCUAAGCCACGAUAUUCUAACCCGGCAUUGACCCUUCGAAAUACUAUGAUUAUUGGCGGGCCUCUUACAAGCAAUCGAUCUCGCAUUUGCAUCAUCGACUUUUUGGGCCGCCCAAAGAGUUCACACUGCAGUUAUUCGCCGACGAUCAUCAUCGCAUCGUCCACUACAGAUCUAGCAACCCUUAUCAGUCUCUACUCCUAGCCAUUUCCCGAUCAUCCCAUUUCCUCGGUCCUCAACCAAUUUCCAUAAAUUUCAAGCGACUAACAAUCGAUUUGUAAGGUA
This 488-nucleotide small RNA is filed under the name Cryptococcus neoformans H99. RNAcentral describes it as "Cryptococcus neoformans var. grubii H99 hypothetical RNA". Lineage: Eukaryota; Fungi; Basidiomycota; Tremellomycetes; Tremellales; Cryptococcaceae. The record is from RNAcentral.